RNAcentral lists this ribosomal RNA (493 nucleotides) under uncultured bacterium. RNAcentral's name for it is "partial 16S ribosomal RNA". It matches the Rfam family "Bacterial small subunit ribosomal RNA", at positions 32 to 507 of the family's 1533-position model. The record is from RNAcentral.
AACGCUGGCGGCGUGCCUAAUACAUGCAAGUCGAGCGAACAGACGAGGAGCUUGCUCCUCUGACGUUAGCGGCGGACGGGUGAGUAACACGUGGAUAACCUACCUAUAAGACUGGGAUAACUUCGGGAAACCGGAGCUAAUACCGGAUAAUAUAUUGAACCGCAUGGUUCAAUAGUGAAAGACGGUUUUGCUGUCACUUAUAGAUGGAUCCGCGCCGCAUUAGCUAGUUGGUAAGGUAACGGCUUACCAAGGCGACGAUGCGUAGCCGACCUGAGAGGGUGAUCGGCCACACUGGAACUGAGACACGGUCCAGACUCCUACGGGAGGCAGCAGUAGGGAAUCUUCCGCAAUGGGCGAAAGCCUGACGGAGCAACGCCGCGUGAGUGAUGAAGGUCUUCGGAUCGUAAAACUCUGUUAUUAGGGAAGAACAAAUGUGUAAGUAACUAUGCACGUCUUGACGGUACCUAAUCAGAAAGCCACGGCUAACUACGUG